This 380-nucleotide unclassified non-coding RNA is filed under the name uncultured Rickettsiales bacterium. RNAcentral describes it as "contains 16S-23S intergenic spacer region". Lineage: Bacteria; Pseudomonadati; Pseudomonadota; Alphaproteobacteria; Rickettsiales. The record is from RNAcentral.
UCCGGCUUAUCACCGGCAGUUUCCCUGGAGUUCUCAGCAUUACCUGGUAGCAACCAAGGAUGAGGGUUGCGCUCGUUGCGGGACUUAACCCAACAUCUCACGACACGAGCUGACGACAGCCAUGCAGCACCUGUGUUCCAGCCAGCCAAACUGAAGGAAGCCAUCUCUGGCGACCAAACUGGACAUGUCAAGGCCUGGUAAGGUUCUUCGCGUUGCCUCGAAUUAAACCACAUGCUCCACCGCUUGUGCGGGUCCCCGUCAAUUCCUUUGAGUUUUAAUCUUGCGACCGUACUCCCCAGGCGGAGUGCUUAAUGCGUUAGCGUCGCCACUGAAUCCUACGGACCCAACAGCUAGCACUCAUCGUUUACAGCGUGGACUAC